AUGCAAGUCGAACGGUAACAGGAAUAGCUUGCUAUUUGCUGACGAGUGGCGGACGGGUGAGUAAUGCUUGGGAACUUGCCUUUGCGAGGGGGAUAACAGUUGGAAACGACUGCUAAUACCGCAUAAUGUUUUCGAACCAAACGGGGCUUAGGCUCCGGCGCAGAGAGAGGCCCAAGUGAGAUUAGCUAGUUGGUAAGGUAAAAGCUUACCAAGGCGACGAUCUCUAGCUGUUCUGAGAGGAAGAUCAGCCACACUGGGACUGAGACACGGCCCAGACUCCUACGGGAGGCAGCAGUGGGGAAUAUUGCACAAUGGGGGAAACCCUGAUGCAGCCAUGCCGCGUGUGUGAAGAAGGCCUUCGGGUUGUAAAGCACUUUCAGUUGUGAGGAAAGGGUAGUAGUUAAUACCUGCUAUCUGUGACGUUAGCAACAGAAGAAGCACCGGCUAACUCCGUGCCAGCAGCCGCGGUAAUACGGAGGGUGCGAGCGUUAAUCGGAAUUACUGGGCGUAAAGCGCACGCAGGCGGUUUGUUAAGCUAGAUGUGAAAGCCCCGGGCUCAACCUGGGACGGUCAUUUAGAACUGGCAGACUAGAGUCUUGGAGAGGGGAGUGGAAUUCCAGGUGUAGCGGUGAAAUGCGUAGAUAUCUGGAGGAACAUCAGUGGCGAAGGCGACUCCCUGGCCAAAGACUGACGCUCAUGUGCGAAAGUGUGGGUAGCGAACAGGAUUAGAUACCCUGGUAGUCCACACCGUAAACGCUGUCUACUAGAUGUUUGUGGAUUUAAUCCGUGAGUAGCGAAGCUAACGCGAUAAGU
This 813-nucleotide ribosomal RNA is filed under the name Alteromonadaceae bacterium ACEMC 19-10. Its description in RNAcentral is "bacterial SSU rRNA". It matches the Rfam family "Bacterial small subunit ribosomal RNA", at positions 55 to 865 of the family's 1533-position model. The record is from RNAcentral. Lineage: Bacteria; Pseudomonadati; Pseudomonadota; Gammaproteobacteria; Alteromonadales; Alteromonadaceae.